UUCAAAAAUAUCAUAGAAGUGACUUUUUGGCAUUUAAUGUCCUGGUUUUCUUUCUCCUCAAUUAACGUGUGAGUAAAUGUGCUUGGGCCCCUAACAUAGAAACCAUUUUGUUCCUAUUGGGGUGGAUCAAAAAAAAAAAAAAAAAGAGAAGAAGAAGGAUAGAAGUGACACACCCAGGAGGCCGUUGUUCUAUUACGCCUCAUUUCAUAUGAGACAAAAAAAAUGUGAUUAUCAAUCCUUGAUGACAUUUUGGGCUUUUAGAUUCAUAGGCGUAAAUUUACCUUGGUCCAGUUCGAUCACAUUCCGGUGGUAGAUCUUUUCAUUGUUUCUCUUUUCGUCUCACGGAGGCAAGAUGAGCAGGGAAACUUGUAUCAGGUAUAUGAGACCCAUUGUGGGAGGGGAGCUACUGGCUUCCAUGAUCAGGAGAAUUAGAUUACAUUCUUAAAUGUGUAUAAGACCUAAUCUUGUGUUCUUGAUGAGCAUUAU
This 486-nucleotide long non-coding RNA is filed under the name Musa acuminata (dwarf banana). RNAcentral describes it as "long non-coding RNA (MACU_LNC003363)". The record is from RNAcentral. Lineage: Eukaryota; Viridiplantae; Streptophyta; Magnoliopsida; Zingiberales; Musaceae.